GUGGGGAGAGGCUGAGCUAUCUUUGCUGUCACCCAGCAUCGAACAUUUAUCUAGCGGGUUGGAGGCCCUCAUGGUCACGCUUGAAGAGGGACUGAGCCAUCUUUGUUGUCGUCCUGCAUCAAAUAUUCCUCUAGCGGAUUGGAGUGGUAUAUGGAUCCUCUGGAUAUAGGUGGUGCUGCGGAUGACAUACUCACUUGAUCCAUUUGGACAUGGUA
This 215-nucleotide long non-coding RNA is filed under the name Elaeis guineensis (African oil palm). RNAcentral's name for it is "long non-coding RNA (EGUI_LNC038026)". The record is from RNAcentral. Lineage: Eukaryota; Viridiplantae; Streptophyta; Magnoliopsida; Arecales; Arecaceae.